This 460-nucleotide ribosomal RNA is filed under the name uncultured bacterium. Its description in RNAcentral is "partial 16S ribosomal RNA". It matches the Rfam family "Bacterial small subunit ribosomal RNA", at positions 338 to 795 of the family's 1533-position model. The record is from RNAcentral.
CCUACGGGAGGCAGCAGUGAGGAAUAUUGGUCAAUGGACGAGAGUCUGAACCAGCCAAGUAGCGUGAAGGAUGACUGCCCUAUGGGUUGUAAACUUCUUUUAUAAGGGAAUAAAAUGUUCCACGUGUGGCAUUUUGUAUGUACUAUAUGAAUAAGGAUCGGCUAACUCCGUGCCAGCAGCCGCGGUAAUACGGAGGAUCCGAGCGUUAUCCGGAUUUAUUGGGUUUAAAGGGAGCGUAGAUGGAUUGUUAAGUAAGUUGUGAAAGUUUGCGGCUCAACCGUAAAAUUGCAAUUGAUACUGGCAGUCUUGAGUACAGUAGAGGUAGGCGGAAUUCGUGGUGUAGCGGUGAAAUGCUUAGAUAUCACGAAGAACUCCGAUUGCGAAGGCAGCUCACUGGACUGCAACUGACACUGAGGCUCGAAAGUGUGGGUAUCAAACAGGAUUAGAUACCCUAGUAGUC